GAUGAACGCUGGCGGCGUGCCUAAUACAUGCAAGUCGAGCGAACGGACGAGAAGCUUGCUUCUCUGAUGUUAGCGGCGGACGGGUGAGUAACACGUGGAUAACCUACCUAUAAGACUGGGAUAACUUCGGGAAACCGGAGCUAAUACCGGAUAAUAUUUUGAACCGCAUGGUUCAAAAGUGAAAGACGGUCUUGCUGUCACUUAUAGAUGGAUCCGCGCUGCAUUAGCUAGUUGGUAAGGUAACGGCUUACCAAGGCAACGAUGCAUAGCCGACCUGAGAGGGUGAUCGGCCACACUGGAACUGAGACACGGUCCAGACUCCUACGGGAGGCAGCAGUAGGGAAUCUUCCGCAAUGGGCGAAAGCCUGACGGAGCAACGCCGCGUGAGUGAUGAAGGUCUUCGGAUCGUAAAACUCUGUUAUUAGGGAAGAACAUAUGUGUAAGUAACUGUGCACAUCUUGACGGUACCUAAUCAGAAAGCCACGGCUAACUACGUGCCAGCAGCCGCGGUAAUACGUAGGUGGCAAGCGUUAUCCGGAAUUAUUGGGCGUAAAGCGCGCGUAGGCGGUUUUUUAAGUCUGAUGUGAAAGCCCACGGCUCAACCGUGGAGGGUCAUUGGAAACUGGAAAACUUGAGUGCAGAAGAGGAAAGUGGAAUCCCAUGUGUAGCGGUGAAAUGCGCAGAGAUAUGGAGGAACACCAGUGGCGAAGGCGACUUUCUGGUCUGUAACUGACGCUGAUGUGCGAAAGCGUGGGGAUCAAACAGGAUUAGAUACCCUGGUAGUCCACGCCGUAAACGAUGAGUGCUAAGUGUUAGGGGGUUUCCGCCCCUUAGUGCUGCAGCUAACGCAUUAAGCACUCCGCCUGGGGAGUACGACCGCAAGGUUGAAACUCAAAGGAAUUGACGGGGACCCGCACAAGCGGUGGAGCAUGUGGUUUAAUUCGAAGCAACGCGAAGAACCUUACCAAAUCUUGACAUCCUUCGACAACUCUAGAGAUAGAGCCUUCCCCUUCGGGGGACAAAGUGACAGGUGGUGCAUGGUUGUCGUCAGCUCGUGUCGUGAGAUGUUGGGUUAAGUCCCGCAACGAGCGCAACCCUUAAGCUUAGUUGCCAUCAUUAAGUUGGGCACUCUAAGUUGACUGCCGGUGACAAACCGGAGGAAGGUGGGGAUGACGUCAAAUCAUCAUGCCCCUUAUGAUUUGGGCUACACACGUGCUACAAUGGACAAUACAAAGGGCAGCGAAACCGCGAGGUCAAGCAAAUCCCAUAAAGUUGUUCUCAGUUCGGAUUGUAGUCUGCAACUCGACUACAUGAAGCUGGAAUCGCUAGUAAUCGUAGAUCAGCAUGCUACGGUGAAUACGUUCCCGGGUCU
Molecule: ribosomal RNA, 1372 nt
Filed under: uncultured bacterium
Lineage: Bacteria
Description: bacterial SSU rRNA
Rfam family: Bacterial small subunit ribosomal RNA
Source: RNAcentral